GGAAUGGUUGCGCCGUAAUUGGUAAUCAUCUAUUCGUUAAGUAAUUGUUACCGCUUUGUUCAGAAAGACACGAUGCAAAUCACUGAAAUCAGAGAGUAACGAAUGACUUGCGACGUGUCCGUUGCCUCAUUCUCUUUUUUUCCCACCAUAUACAUAAGCAGUCAAACCCUACCCACAACAACACACACGCUUCACCAAACUUUUUUUUUUCUCUCCUUCUAAUUUUUCUGCGAAAAUCUAUCUUAAUUUUUCUAGGUAGCCAAACACGCUUCUUCCCGAAGAACUCGUCCUUCCCAAGAUGAUGAAGAAAUCCAGUCUCUUUGCAGCCUCUGUCGCCGCCGCGUCGGCCACCGCGGUUUCUGUUUCGUCCUCCACGCACGUCUCCAUUCAGGAUGGUGGGUCUCAAAGGGGCCAUGGAGGCUCCUCUUCUUCUCCAGAGGGUUCGGCUUCGACAGAGAAAUUCGCUCCAAGAUUCGACGGGUUGCGGUUCAUUGAGACUCUAAUUACUGCUCACAGAUGAAACUUUUGUUUUCUAGGGAACAAGGAUUUUGAAGCUUCUUGCUCAAUUAUAUGUAGUACUAUUUUCUUUUUGUUUACACCUUUUUAGUCCCGUUAAUCGUUUUUAUCUUGUGCUGUAUAGGAAAAAAGGAUUUAACCAUGGAAAAUGUUUAACUUUUUCCUUUUCAUCUUGUCGUAGGGUUUAUUAUAACUAGGAAGGGAAAUUGAGCGAGAGUGAGAAAUUGUAAUGUUGCGAGAUUGUUUUGUUUUCAUGUUCUUGUUUUUUGUACUUUUUUUUUUACCUGAACUUAUGAUGUGCAUCUUGUGAUUUUUCUGCAUGAAUUUUCCAAGAAAUAAUAAAAAAAAAGUUUCUACC
Long non-coding RNA from Arachis stenosperma, 874 nucleotides. RefSeq lists it as uncharacterized. The record is from RefSeq and is a predicted model, not a curated record. The transcript has 2 exons. NCBI's taxonomy places the organism in Eukaryota, Viridiplantae, Streptophyta, Magnoliopsida, Fabales, Fabaceae.